RNAcentral lists this ribosomal RNA (430 nucleotides) under Acidobacteriota bacterium. RNAcentral describes it as "Acidobacteria bacterium partial 16S ribosomal RNA". It matches the Rfam family "Bacterial small subunit ribosomal RNA", at positions 355 to 776 of the family's 1533-position model. The record is from RNAcentral. Lineage: Bacteria; Pseudomonadati; Acidobacteriota.
UGGGGAAUAUUGGACAAUGGGCGAAAGCCUGAUCCAGCCAUGCCGCGUGUGUGAAGAAGGCCUUUUGGUUGUAAAGCACUUUAAGCGAGGAGGAGGCUACUUGGAUUAAUACUCUAGGAUAGUGGACGUUACUCGCAGAAUAAGCACCGGCUAACUCUGUGCCAGCAGCCGUGGUAAUACAGAGGGUGCGAGCGUUAAUCGGAUUUACUGGGCGUAAAGCGUGCGUAGGCGGCUUCUUAAGUCGGAUGUGAAAUCCCUGAGCUUAACUUAGGAAUUGCAUUCGAUACUGGGAAGCUAGAGUAUGGGAGAGGAUGGUAGAAUUCCAGGUGUAGCGGUGAAAUGCGUAGAGAUCUGGAGGAAUACCGAUGGCGAAGGCAGCCAUCUGGCCUAAUACUGACGCUGAGGUACGAAAGCAUGGGGAGCAAACAGG